UCCAUCUCAAUCAUCGCCAUCCUCCGACACUUUCCUCCAGUUUUAGAGCUUGAGAUAACCGCUUUAGGUUGCCAGAACUGGCGCCAUAAAAUUCAACAGCGGCUUCCCUGAAAUCUGCCGAACGGUUACGGCAUCAGGCAAAUCACAUAAUUAUUGGGGAAAAAAAAUGGGGUAAUUUGAGGAGUUUAUACUUGGUAUUGG
This 201-nucleotide unclassified non-coding RNA is filed under the name Hevea brasiliensis (rubber tree). The record is from RNAcentral. Lineage: Eukaryota; Viridiplantae; Streptophyta; Magnoliopsida; Malpighiales; Euphorbiaceae.